GCCCCUAUAGCCCAAUUGGCAGAGGCAGCGGACUUAAAAUCCGCCAAGUCAGGGUUCGAGUCCCUGUGGGGGCACCA
RNAcentral lists this transfer RNA (77 nucleotides) under Nocardia neocaledoniensis NBRC 108232. RNAcentral describes it as "tRNA-Leu". It matches the Rfam family "tRNA". From Rfam's summary of the family: Transfer RNA (tRNA) molecules are approximately 80 nucleotides in length. Their secondary structure includes four short double-helical elements and three loops (D, anti-codon, and T loops). Lineage: Bacteria; Bacillati; Actinomycetota; Actinomycetes; Mycobacteriales; Nocardiaceae. The record is from RNAcentral. RNAcentral also lists the same sequence under 1 other name.